AGUGAACGCUGGCGGUAGGCCUAACACAUGCAAGUCGAACGGCAGCACAGUAAGAUCUUGCUCUUACGGGUGGCGAGUGGCGGACGGGUGAGGAAUACAUCGGAAUCUACUUUUUCGUGGGGGAUAACGUAGGGAAACUUACGCUAAUACCGCAUACGACCUACGGGUGAAAGCAGUGGAUCUUCGGACCUUGCGCGAUUGAAUGAGCCGAUGUCGGAUUAGCUAGUUGGCGGGGUAAAGGCCCACCAAGGCGACGAUCCGUAGCUGGUCUGAGAGGAUGAUCAGCCACACUGGAACUGAGACACGGUCCAGACUCCUACGGGAGGCAGCAGUGGGGAAUAUUGGACAAUGGGCGCAAGCCUGAUCCAGCCAUACCGCGUGGGUGAAGAAGGCCUUCGGGUUGUAAAGCCCUUUUGUUGGGAAAGAAAAGCAGCAGGUUAAUACCCCGCUGUUCUGACGGUACCCAAAGAAUAAGCACCGGCUAACUUCGUG
RNAcentral lists this ribosomal RNA (492 nucleotides) under uncultured bacterium. RNAcentral's name for it is "partial 16S ribosomal RNA". It matches the Rfam family "Bacterial small subunit ribosomal RNA", at positions 29 to 507 of the family's 1533-position model. The record is from RNAcentral.